GACGAACGCUGGCGGCGUGCUUAACACAUGCAAGUCGAACGGAAAGGCCCUUCGGGGUGCUCGAGUGGCGAACGGGUGAGUAACACGUGGGUGAUCUGCCCUGCACUUUGGGAUAAGCCUGGGAAACUGGGUCUAAUACCGAAUACACCCUGCUGGUUGCAUGACCUGGUGGGGGAAAGCUUUUGCGGUGUGGGAUGGGCCCGCGGCCUAUCAGCUUGUUGGUGGGGUGAUGGCCUACCAAGGCGACGACGGGUAGCCGGCCUGAGAGGGUGACCGGCCACACUGGGACUGAGAUACGGCCCAGACUCCUACGGGAGGCAGCAGUGGGGAAUAUUGCACAAUGGGCGCAAGCCUGAUGCAGCGACGCCGCGUGGGGGAUGACGGCCUUCGGGUUGUAAACCUCUUUCAGUAGGGACGAAGCGCAAGUGACGGUACCUACAGAAGAAGGACCGGCCAACUACGUGCCAGCAGCCGCGGUAAUACGUAGGGUCCGAGCGUUGUCCGGAAUUACUGGGCGUAAAGAGCUCGUAGUGGUUUGUCGCGUUGUUCGUGAAAACCGGGGGCUUAACCCUCGGCGUGCGGGCGAUACGGGCAGACUGGAGUACUGCAGGGGAGACUGGAAUUCCUGGUGUAGCGGUGGAAUGCGCAGAUAUCAGGAGGAACACCGGUGGCGAAGGCGGGUCUCUGGGCAGUAACUGACGCUGAGGAGCGAAAGCGUGGGGAGCGAGCAGGAUUAGAUACCCUGGUAGUCCACGCCGUAAACGGUGGGUACUAGGUGUGGGUUUCCUUCCUUGGGAUCCGUGCCGUAGCUAACGCAUUAAGUACCCCGCCUGGGGAGUACGGCCGCAAGGCUAAAACUCAAAGGAAUUGACGGGGGCCCGCACAAGCGGCGGUGCAUGUGGAUUAAUUCGAUGCAACGCGAAGAACCUUACCUGGGUUUGACAUGCACAGGAUGUCGGCAGAGAUGUCGGUUCCCUUGUGGCCUGUGUGCAGGUGGUGCAUGGUUGUCGUCAGCUCGUGUCGUGAGAUGUUGGGUUAAGUCCCGCAACGAUCGCAACCCUUGCCUCAUGUUGCCAGCACGUUAUGGUGGGGACUCGUGAGAGACUGCCGGGGUCAACUCGGAGGAAGGUGGGGAUGGCGUCAAGUCAUCAUGCCCCUUAUGUCCAGGGCUUCACACAUGCUACAAUGGCCGGUACAAAGGGCUGCGAUGCCGUGAGGUGGAGCGAAUCCUUUCAAAGCCGGUCUCAGUUCGGAUCGGGGUCUGCAACUCGACCCCGUGAAGUCGGAGUCGCUAGUAAUCGCAGAUCAGCAACGCUGCGGUGAAUACGUUCCCGGGCCU
This 1339-nucleotide ribosomal RNA is filed under the name uncultured bacterium. RNAcentral describes it as "bacterial SSU rRNA". It matches the Rfam family "Bacterial small subunit ribosomal RNA", at positions 28 to 1381 of the family's 1533-position model. The record is from RNAcentral.